RNAcentral lists this unclassified non-coding RNA (243 nucleotides) under Hevea brasiliensis (rubber tree). The record is from RNAcentral. Lineage: Eukaryota; Viridiplantae; Streptophyta; Magnoliopsida; Malpighiales; Euphorbiaceae.
CAUCCAGUGCGCUUAAUCGAACCUCUUUAAAAUUUUCAACGUCUUCUAGUUUUUUCACCAUCCAGCCUACAUCAUUCAGUGGUUGAGUAGCCGUUGCCCUGAAUUCACUCGUGAAACUAAAAUAGUUAGCUGUAAAUAAUAUACACAAACCAUAAUUAAUUAAGCAAACGGAUCAAGAGAAUAAGCAAUCAAGUACCUCUCGCCCAUACUGUUUCUUGUCAUUGCAAUGGAAGGAGAUUAUGC